This 68-nucleotide transfer RNA is filed under the name Marmota monax (woodchuck). It matches the Rfam family "tRNA". Rfam says of the family: Transfer RNA (tRNA) molecules are approximately 80 nucleotides in length. Lineage: Eukaryota; Metazoa; Chordata; Mammalia; Rodentia; Sciuridae. The record is from Rfam by way of RNAcentral.
GUGGUGGCUCAGCGGUAGAGCACUCUCCUCGAACGUGUGAGACCCUGGGUUGGAUCCUCAGCACCACA